UUUUUUCCAAAUAUUACAAAAAGAACAUAAGUAAUAAACAUUUCUCUACUUCCUGGAUAUGUAAUACGAGCUCCUAGAUAUCAAACCAAAUCGAAUGAAAGACGAUAACGCUAUCUGGAUGAAUUUUCUUGAAUUAUUCUCUAAUCUAAAAUGACAAUAAGUCAUCCUCUCUAGGAUCCACAUCAUCCCGCCAUAUUGAAGUCACUGAAAAUGUUUACUUCUUUUUGUAAAUAUAAAUAAUUAACACAAAAGUAAAUAAAAUAGUCGAUAAUCGUUCCGAUCUUAUAACUUUUAAAUGGAGAAGACGCGGGAUAUAAUUUGACCUAACAGAAUAAGAGCGCAUGCACUGACCACGUGCACGUGCAUGCGAGUGACCACCUGCAGCAAAAGGAUCAUUAUCGCGAACUUAAGUAUGCAUUGUGUCGCUAGCGCGUAUAUACAUGACAUAUAUGUAUAUAUGUGUAUAUAUAUAUAUAUACAUAUAGAUACAAUAUAUAGAUACAUAGGUAUAUGUGCACGUGCAGAAAACAUUCUCGCGUACACAAAUGCAAUGUAAUUAUCGUCUGACGGCUUCCAAAGAAAACGAAGCGAAAUAUGCCAGCCGAGGAUGUUGUUUAGAAUCAGAAAUAGAGGCCACUGUGUUCACAAACUUACAAAGAGAUUCGAUUUGAUGUAGCUAAGCGGCUGAUUUCCCAACAGAUUAAUCUCUUUUAUGUUCUUUUUUUACUUUUACUAUUUAUCGUGUGUACGGUAUACAUUUAUAUACACACAAGAUC
Molecule: long non-coding RNA, 776 nt
Organism: Polistes canadensis
Lineage: Eukaryota; Metazoa; Arthropoda; Insecta; Hymenoptera; Vespidae
Exons: 3
Source: RefSeq, a predicted model, not a curated record